GGCGUGCCUAAUACAUGCAAGUCGAGCGGAGAUUUGGGAGCUUGCUCCCAAAUCUUAGCGGCGGACGGGUGAGUAACACGUGGGCAACCUGCCCUGCAGACUGGGAUAACUCCGGGAAACCGGAGCUAAUACCGGGUAAUACAUCGCACCGCAUGGUGCAAUGUUGAAAGUUGGCUUUCGAGCUAACACUGCAGGAUGGGCCCGCGGCGCAUUAGCUAGUUGGUAAGGUAAUGGCUUACCAAGGCGACGAUGCGUAGCCGACCUGAGAGGGUGAUCGGCCACACUGGGACUGAGACACGGCCCAGACUCCUACGGGAGGCAGCAGUAGGGAAUCUUCCGCAAUGGACGAAAGUCUGACGGAGCAACGCCGCGUGAGUGACGAAGGCCUUCGGGUCGUAAAGCUCUGUUGUUAGGGAAGAACAAGUACCGUUCGAAUAGGGCGGUACCUUGACGGUACCUAACCAGAAAGCCACGGCUAACUACGUGCCAGCAGCCGCGGUAAUACGUAGGUGGCAAGCGUUGUCCGGAAUUAUUGGGCGUAAAGCGCGCGCAGGCGGUCUUUUAAGUCUGAUGUGAAAGCCCACGGCUCAACCGUGGAGGGUCAUUGGAAACUGGAGGACUUGAGUGCAGAAGAGGAGAGUGGAAUUCCACGUGUAGCGGUGAAAUGCGUAGAUAUGUGGAGGAACACCAGUGGCGAAGGCGGCUCUCUGGUCUGUAACUGACGCUGAGGCGCGAAAGCGUGGGGAGCAAACAGGAUUAGAUACCCUGGUAGUCCACGCCGUAAACGAUGAGUGCUAGGUGUUGGGGGGUUCCACCCUCAGUGCUGAAGUUAACACAUUAAGCACUCCGCCUGGGGAGUACGACCGCAAGGUUGAAACUCAAAGGAAUUGACGGGGGCCCGCACAAGCAGUGGAGCAUGUGGUUUAAUUCGAAGCAACGCGAAGAACCUUACCAGGUCUUGACAUCCUCUGACAAUCCUGGAGACAGGACGUUCCCCUUCGGGGGACAGAGUGACAGGUGGUGCAUGGUUGUCGUCAGCUCGUGUCGUGAGAUGUUGGGUUAAGUCCCGCAACGAGCGCAACCCUUGAUCUUAGUUGCCAGCAUUCAGUUGGGCACUCUAAGGUGACUGCCGGUGACAAACCGGAGGAAGGUGGGGAUGACGUCAAAUCAUCAUGCCCCUUAUGACCUGGGCUACACACGUGCUACAAUGGACGGUACAAAGGG
RNAcentral lists this ribosomal RNA (1224 nucleotides) under Bacillus sp. AP33. RNAcentral's name for it is "bacterial SSU rRNA". It matches the Rfam family "Bacterial small subunit ribosomal RNA", at positions 41 to 1246 of the family's 1533-position model. Lineage: Bacteria; Bacillati; Bacillota; Bacilli; Caryophanales; Bacillaceae. The record is from RNAcentral.